This 735-nucleotide non-coding RNA is filed under the name Agonoscena pistaciae. The record is from RNAcentral. Lineage: Eukaryota; Metazoa; Arthropoda; Insecta; Hemiptera; Aphalaridae.
AAUAUAUUUUAUCUUAGUAUUGCGAUUUACUUGUUUAUUUUUUUCACAUGUAAUUCCUUGAAUUAAAUUUAUUUAUCACAGUAAAUAAGAUUAAUUAUUAUAAUCAUAUUAGAUUUAGAAAUUUAAACUUAAAAUUAACAUAUUUUGUGCCAGCAGUUGCGGUUACACAAUUAAUUUAAUGUAAAUUUAAUGAUAAAGUUUUUUUGUUUCGCAAAUCAAGUAAAUCAUUAUUUUUAGGUAAAAUUUUAAUAAUGAAAUUCUUGAUUUUAAUAAUUAAACGAAUUUUUUUAUUAAACCAGGAUUAGAUACCCUGUUAUAAAAACGUAAAAUAGUUGGAGUAGUAUUAGUUAUGAUCUUCAAACUCAAAAGAUUUGGCGGUAUUUUAUCUUUUUAGAGGAAUCUGUAUAUUAAUUGAUAAUCCACGACUAAAGCUACUUUUAAAAUUUAACUUGUAUACCGUUGUCAAAAAUAUAUUAAUAAAUCAAUUUUUUCUUACUUUUAUGGAGUUUAUGAUAGAUCAAGGUGCAGUUUUUAAAAGUUUUUAUGGAUUACCAUUAGACUAAUGAAUGAAUUAAAUUUUAAAUCAAAUAUUUUAUGAAGGAGGAUUUAAUAGUAAACAAAUUAAAGUAAUUAAAUGAAUAAAGUUUCUAAAAUAUGUACAUAUUGCCCGUCGCUCUUAUUUAAAAUAAGAUAAGUCGUAACAUAGUAGAAGUACCGGAAGGUGCUUCUGGCUAU